CUGAAAGCAUCUAAGCAUGAAGCCCCCCUCAAGAUGAGAUUUCCCAUUCCGCAAGGAAGUAAGAUCCCUGAAAGAUGAUCAGGUUGAUAGGUCUGAGGUGGAAGUGUGGCAACACAUGGAGCUGACAGAUACUAAUCGAUCGAGGACUUAACCAUAUUU
This 159-nucleotide ribosomal RNA is filed under the name Bacillus subtilis. Its description in RNAcentral is "partial 23S ribosomal RNA". It matches the Rfam family "Bacterial large subunit ribosomal RNA", at positions 2771 to 2925 of the family's 2925-position model. Lineage: Bacteria; Bacillati; Bacillota; Bacilli; Caryophanales; Bacillaceae. The record is from RNAcentral.